RNAcentral lists this ribosomal RNA (440 nucleotides) under uncultured bacterium. RNAcentral's name for it is "partial 16S ribosomal RNA". It matches the Rfam family "Bacterial small subunit ribosomal RNA", at positions 338 to 795 of the family's 1533-position model. The record is from RNAcentral.
CCUACGGGAGGCAGCAGUGGGGAAUAUUGCACAAUGGGGGAAACCCUGAUGCAGCGACGCCGCGUGAGUGAAGAAGUAAUUCGUUACGUAAAGCCCUAUUAGCAGGGAAGAAAAUGACGGUACCUGACUACGAAGCCCCGUCUAACUACGUGCCAGCAGCCGCGGUAAUACGUAGGGGGCAAGCGUUAUCCGGAUUUACUGGGGGUAAAGGGAGCGUAGUCGGUGCGGCAAGUCUGGAGUGAAAUGCCGUGGCUUAACUGCGGAACUGCUUUGGAAACUGGCGAACUAGAGUGCGGGAGGGGUAAGCGGAAUGCGUGGUGUAGCGGUGAAAUGCGUAGAUAUUAGGAGGAACACCGGUGGCGAAGGCGGCUUACUGGACCGUAACUGACGUUGAGGCUCGAAAGCGUGGGGAGCAAACAGGAUUAGAUACCCUUGUAGUC